CACGUAGUUAGCCGGGCCUUCUUCCUCGGGUACCGUCGUUCGUCGUCCCCAAGAAAAGGGGUUUACACCCCGAAAGGCGUCCUCCCCCACGCGGCGUUGCUCCGUCAGGCUUGCGCCCAUUGCGGAAAAUUCCUUGCUGCUGCCUCCCGUAGGAGUGGGGGCCGUCUCUCAGUCCCCCUGUGGCUGGCCGUCCUCUCAGACCAGCUACCGAUCAUCGCCUUGGGAGGCCAUCACCCCCCAACUAGCUAAUCGGCCGCAGACCCCUCCGUCGGCGAGUCCGAAGACCCUUCUCAGCAGCCCCACCGGCCACCGAGCGUAUGCGGAAUUACCCCCGGUUUCCGGGGCCUACCCCCACCAUCGGGCAGGUUGCCCACGUGUUCCUCACCCGUCCGCCACGUCGACUCCCCCGAAGGCCGAGCCCGUUCGAUUGCAUGCAUUAGGCACGCCGCCAGCGUUGAUCCUGAGCCAGGAUCCAAAACUCU
This 482-nucleotide ribosomal RNA is filed under the name uncultured Chloroflexota bacterium. RNAcentral describes it as "uncultured Chloroflexi bacterium partial 16S ribosomal RNA". Lineage: Bacteria; Bacillati; Chloroflexota. The record is from RNAcentral.